GGCCUAACACUUGCAAGUCUGACGGUAGCACAGAGGAGCUUGCUCCUUGGGUGACGAGUGGCGGACGGGUGAGUAAUGUCUGGGGAUCUGCCCGAUAGAGGGGGAUAACCCUGGAAACGGUGGCUAAUACCGCAUAACGUCGCAAGACCAAAGAGGGGGACCUUCGGGCCUCUCACUAUCGGAUGAACCCAGAUGGGAUUAGCUAGUAGGCGGGGUAAUGGCCCACCUAGGCGACGAUCCCUAGCUGGUCUGAGAGGAUGACCAGCCACACUGGAACUGAGACACGGUCCAGACUCCUACGGGAGGCAGCAGUGGGGAAUAUUGCACAAUGGGCGCAAGCCUGAUGCAGCCAUGCCGCGUGUAUGAAGAAGGCCUUCGGGUUGUAAAGUACUUUCAGCGGGGAGGAAGGCGAUGGGGUUAAUAACCUUGUCGAUUGACGUUACCCGCAGAAGAAGCACCGGCUAACUCCGUGCCAGCAGCCGCGGUAAUACGGAGAGUG
RNAcentral lists this ribosomal RNA (499 nucleotides) under Pantoea agglomerans. RNAcentral's name for it is "bacterial SSU rRNA". It matches the Rfam family "Bacterial small subunit ribosomal RNA", at positions 45 to 534 of the family's 1533-position model. The record is from RNAcentral. Lineage: Bacteria; Pseudomonadati; Pseudomonadota; Gammaproteobacteria; Enterobacterales; Erwiniaceae.